This is a long non-coding RNA of Rosa chinensis, 4216 nucleotides long. RefSeq lists it as uncharacterized. The record is from RefSeq and is a predicted model, not a curated record. The transcript is spliced from 4 exons. Lineage: Eukaryota; Viridiplantae; Streptophyta; Magnoliopsida; Rosales; Rosaceae.
UUCCUCUCUCCUCUCUCGUCUGCAUCCCUCUCUCUCUCCCCGUCCCCUAUCCUUCUCUUCUUCUUCCCUCUGCAACCACCGGAGAACACCAUCUCCGGCCACCACACAACGUCACCGCCACCACCAAUUGACGCAUCACCUAAACCCGACCAAAACCCGAGGCUCGCCGGAAACGGUAGCUGUGCAUGUCUUCGUUUUUCAGCCUCUAGUUCGAAACGAGCAAAGUCACCUCCAAGGAUAGAAUCAGCAACCUCACAAUCCUCCAAAGCCCCCUAGUUCUGACCUCCGAUUCCGACCAGAGCCAUCGCACGCGGUACACGCGUCGCCGCUAGCGCGUGAGCCACCACAGCUCCGCCUCUCAUGGAUGCCUCCAGAUAGUUUCGAUUAGGUUUACGGAUUUCUGCAUUUUUGGAGUUUUGGAAAGGAGGAAGCUAUUGCGUCGGUUUUGAUUGAGACCGAAAAAAGGUAAGGAGUACUCACAAGUUCUGUUUUGAAUAUAAGUAUUGGUGAAGAGAUAGGUUGUUAAUUUUGUUAUGAUCGAUAAGUGUUAAAACUGUUGUCGACGGUGGAUUGUAACAGCGACGACUUAAUUUCUAAUCUGGAAAAGAAGAAUGGUAAGAGCCUAAUUAUUCUGAAUUGUGAAAUUGAUGGUGUUCUGUUUCUGAUUGUUGUAAAUGGAUUUGUUGGAGUUAUUUUAGAAAGUGAAGUUGUUAAAAUCAGCAGAAAAUUGUCUGUUGCCUCAUGAAUGGAAAAGAGUGAAAAUGGUGAUAUGGUGGUUUAAAGGUUUGGUAUGGCAUCUAUGGUGACUUUGUGAUUACUAAAGAUGUUUGUGAUCUGUUUGUGUUUAAUCAAGGAGAUGAAAUUGUUAUAAUUGUGGAUUUGUCGUAAAUACAAGGUAGGCAAAGAAUGGUUAAUUUGGUGACCUUUAUGCAGUUAAGUGAAAUUAGGACAUUCGAUCUCAAUAAAUGAAGUAAAUUACAAGUGAAGUACUUUAAAGCUACCAUAUCCCAAAAUCGUAAUCCAUUGGGAAUGGUAAUUGUGAUUUGUUUUCUUAAAGUAAAAAUGCUAAACAAAUGAAGGUGAAAGUGUCAAUUAUAAUCGCCAUAUCCUGAAUGAUUCAAAUGCUACGUCGAUCAUUUGGAUUAUUUGAGAAUGGAUAAUAGGUUUUAUCUAUUAAAGGAAGAUCUCUACAAACAUAAGUUCUAGAUCACUGUUCCAUUAAAGAAUAAUUUGAUGGGCUUUAAGGGAAUUAAGUGAGUGAUUUAGGUGCUCGGUUAAUUAAGUUAAUGAUGUUAAGUUACUCAUUGGUUAAUUUUAUUAUAAAUGACUCGUGCGUGUGCAUUUGGAACUGGACAAAGUAUUGAAAGUCAAGAACGAAUCUAAUUGUGGACUCCAUAUCCAGGUAGGGUGAGCUGUCCCUUCCUUGUUAAAGACUUUUCUAUAUGUGGAAUGCUCUAGUAUAAUAAUAUAUUUCUUGCAAGUACGUUUUUGGUUGUUCAUUAGUUGAUGCCUCGAGAUAUCCGCGUUUCCAUAACUGAUCAUUGCUGAUUGCAAAAACUGAGGCUAGACUUGUAUGUUGAGAUAUUGUACCCCAUUGUAUGUAUGUACUUGUAACCUGAAAGUGAAUGGGACCUAGACGCGUUGAUUCCUAAACAUCCCACGGUGUCGAUAACCGUGAACCUUCGGAGGGGGCUCUGCUCCUAUGUGCGUAUAGAAAAGGUAAGUACCGACGGUGAACCAGUCAUAGGACACUCAAGGCCAGGAAAUGGACACUUUUGCUACUUGUAGUCACAGGCACUACAGAGUAGUUGGCCGGUUCUCGAAGGAUGUCGAACUGGGCUGGUCAACGAUUGUUUUAGAGUAGCCAGCAGGUAAGUAUCUCGAAGCUCUAAGUUGAGUGAAGCAUGCUGCAUAUGUUUUAUAAAAGAGAAUAAAUGUUUGUGGUUGGCUCUUUUUUUAAGUAUUUUCGAUAAACAUGCACAAUAUUAUGUAGUAGAUAUUUUCAAGUAUAUUAUUUUCAAACCUAGCAUCGUAGGGUCGGCCCUUACUGGGCAUGUGAGGAUGAAAGUUCACCCCUACAGCAGUGUGCAGGUUUCGAGCAUGUGGUUGGGGGAGCGCAUAAGGGAGGCACAUGGCCCGGCUUGGCGCAUUUCUCUUUGACUUUACCAACAAAAGGUUUUGGUCCUUUAUCGGAUUUUGAAGUCAUUUAUUUACUUUUUAUUUGUUUCCUACUCACUAUUUAAAAACUUCAAGAGGCCCGUAACCCUGGGGCGCGUCUCUCAUACUUGAAGUUCACUUAUUAUUUUCCAAAUUGGGCUCCUAUUGUAAGCUCAAAUCCUUUAGCCCACUUUAAAUUCUGCUUUUGAAAAUACGUUGUUCAGUUGCUAGAAUGAUUUGCCAAAUAAAAUGUUUUGUAAACUACCAAACUAAACCCAAAAGGCCUUGCGAUUUCGGGUUGAUGAGUCAUCGGGAUGUCAUUCAUGACAUGUUGGUUUCUCAUUGGCGGCGCUGUGGGACCCCUCUCUCGGGUCACCACAUAGAUUGAGACAAAAAUCCCACUACCUCCCCCAAAAAUGUAAACCAUGACGGGAAUAUCAAUUUUCAUACUUGAACAGGUGCUAGAAAUGGACGGAGUCGCCGAAAAAUGGUGAAAGACUGUAGGAGAUGUAUGAGAGUUUUGAGGCCCAACAUAUUGUCAUUGUUGAACGGAUGGACAAUCUAUUGGCAUGUGUAAACUGAUGCUAACACGGGCCACCACCGAAAAAGUUGCGGAUGGCGAAGAACGAUCGGGUCGAGUUUGGCUUGAAAAUGGUCCCUGACUUUCUAAUUUAAUCCCAAAAGUCCCUGAACUCAAAAUUAAUGGCAACUGGUCCUUUCCAUCUAUUUCAUCUGGUUGCUUGAUGAGGUGUCAGUUUUAUACUUGCCAACUCAGCGCCACGUAAGAGACUGAUUUUGUAAAGUGACGAAAAUGCCCCUGCUUCAGUUUCUUCCAAAAUUUCCUCCAAAAUGGAAAUGAUGGAGAAGCAUGGCAACCUUAGCACAUUUUCCUACUCCGGCUAGAAGAAAGCGAGCUAGACAAGGAAUGAGGAUCGACAGCCUGAUCAAACGAACUCCAAAUGAGUUGAAACUUUCCAGAUCGAUUCUAGACAUCCUAAGGAUCAUUUCUUAUGAAUAGUUUAAGAGUUAGUUUGGAGUGAAAAGCCUUCAAAAGAUUGGUCCAAGUUUCUGACUAAAAGACGAAAAGGGCAAAACCAGACCUGUACUGAUUCCGGCAACAUUUCCGGCCAAACUACGGUGAACUAAGCUCUGAAAUUUUACCAGAAUUAUCUACACUUAUCAAGAAACAUUUGAUAUGAAUAAGUCGAAGGCCAAUUCCAAAGUUUCGGUAAAGAUUCAAUUGAAUGAAGCUUCGGAAGCAGAAAAUGAAUCCUAGUUGAUCGAAUAAGGGUAACUUGGCCGAGAAUCCAUUUUGGACGGAUUUGUUAUGCAUUUUUGGAAGGUUAUGUUGCUGCAAUUCUCAAGGAUAGUUCUAGCAGAAUUCUACAAGAUUAUGACAAGAUUAAUCCAUCAUAUUAUCAUUUGGACAAUAAGCAUGGUGCAUAGGGUUCUCUCCAUCCUUGUCAUUGACUUUGGUGACUCAAAACCACCCCAACACUCUUCAAAUUCAUGAUUCCCAUGCACAAUAAAGAGAGCUAGCUGCUUCUCUCUUCUCCCUUCACUAUGUCACCAAAGCUAUCAGACGACAGAUUAUAUCUGUCGUCUAAUUCAGAAAAAUUCUGUUGUCUCCUGGCGUGAUGUCUCUUAGGCCUUCAGACGACAGAUAUUACCCGUGGUUUAUAUUUCACUCAAACAACAGAGGCUACCAAUAAUCUGUUGUCUGAUUAUGUCGAGGUAUGAUGAAUUAUGACUUUCUGUGGUUGAAGUAGUAACGAAACGACAUUUAUAUGUUCUUAUACAGAACCCUACACAACAUAUUUUCAUAAAAUUCUCUCGUAUGUAAUUAAUUGAGACGAUAGAAAUCUGUGGUGUGAAUACAACAAUCUUGACUAUUUUCUGUUGUCUGACUAUGUUUCAGACCACAAAAAUAUGUCGAUGUACAAUACUAACAAACAAUAGUUUGGAAAUUUUCUGUGGUUCUGAGUUUGCUUCAACGACAUUGGUUCGUAGGUUUUGUUGUGGUAAUUAACUUUGAGCAAUGAAUUUUGAAGUUUUCUGU